Molecule: ribosomal RNA, 493 nt
Filed under: uncultured bacterium
Lineage: Bacteria
Description: partial 16S ribosomal RNA
Rfam family: Bacterial small subunit ribosomal RNA
Source: RNAcentral
GAGUGAACGCUGGCGGUAGGCCUAACACAUGCAAGUCGAACGGCAGCACAGUAAGAGCUUGCUCUUACGGGUGGCGAGUGGCGGACGAGUGAGGAAUACAUCGGAAUCUACUUUUUCGUGGGGGAUAACGUAGGGAAACUUACGCUAAUACCGCAUACGACCUACGGGUGAAAGCAGGGGAUCUUCGGACCUUGCGCGAUUGAAUGAGCCGAUGUCGGAUUAGCUAGUUGGCGGGGUAAAGGCCCACCAAGGCGACGAUCCGUAGCUGGUCUGAGAGGAUGAUCAGCCACACUGGAACUGAGACACGGUCCAGACUCCUACGGGAGGCAGCAGUGGGGAAUAUUGGACAAUGGGCGCAAGCCUGAUCCAGCCACACCGCGUGGGUGAAGAAGGCCUUCGGGUUGUAAAGCCCUUUUGUUGGGAAAGAAAAGCAGCAGGUUAAUACCCCGCUGUUCUGACGGUACCCAAAGAAUAAGCACCGGCUAACUUCGUG